Molecule: ribosomal RNA, 253 nt
Filed under: uncultured bacterium
Lineage: Bacteria
Description: partial 16S ribosomal RNA
Rfam family: Bacterial small subunit ribosomal RNA
Source: RNAcentral
UACGGGGGGGGCAAGCGUUGUUCGGAAUUACUGGGCGUAAAGGGCUCGUAGGUGGCCAACUAAGUCAGACGUGAAAUCCCUCGGCUUAACCGGGGAACUGCGUCUGAUACUGGAUGGCUAGAGAUUGGGAGAGGGAUGCGGAAUUCCAGGUGUAGCGGUGAAAUGCGUAGAUAUCAGGAGGAACACCGGUGGCGAAGGCGGUUCUCUGGGCCUGUACUGACGCUGAGGAACGAAAGCGUGGGGAGCGAACAGG